RNA transcript from Rhineura floridana, 12218 nucleotides. It is a transcript of the gene named RNA binding motif protein 33, with no coding region annotated. NCBI's taxonomy places the organism in Eukaryota, Metazoa, Chordata, Lepidosauria, Squamata, Rhineuridae. The transcript is spliced from 20 exons. The record is from RefSeq and is a predicted model, not a curated record.
AAUGAGGAAGGGAAACAGGGCGGGCGUCAUUUUAUUGUUCUUUGCGUACACACCCGGCGCCCUAUUUCCGAAGCUGCGCAUGCGCUCGCGAAGCGGCUUUUCGGACCUAGCGCGACCAGUUAACCAAAGAGGGGAAUCCGCCCUCAUUCCGGGGGGCAGGGUGGCAGCAGGGGAAGGAGGGAGCUGGUCCUCCAGUAUCCCAGACUGCAACGCGACGCUAGUGGCGUCGUUCACCACUCCCUUCGUCUCCUCCGCGUCUUCCCUCAGCCGCCGGCCGCCAUGUUGUGCUAGUUUCUUCGAGCUCAUCGGCGGCGGGCGCUCACCCACCCGCAAGAACAACCCAGCGGUGCCGUGAGAAGUAGGAGGGUCGCGGGUUCUUCGCACCGCGUUCUCACAGGACCCGGCGCCAUGGCAGCCGCCUUAGGAGGAGGAGGAGACGGGGGAGCAGAUGAUGACUUUGAUCAGUUUGAUAAGCCUGGUGCAGAAAGAUCUUGGAGGAGAAGAACUGGAGAUGAUGACUGGGACAGUGAAUUAGAUGAUGACUUGCUAGGAGAAGAUUUGCUGACUGGUAAAAAAACCCAGUCAGAUAUGUCAGAUGAAGAAUUGAAUGAUGAUCUUCUACAGAGUGACAAUGAAGAGGACCAACAUUUCAGCUCUCAGGAUGUCACAGUUAGUCUUAAUGCUACAUCUGGAGUGGCUGCAUCCUUUGAGCUCUUGGAGAACGCUAAUGAUCAAUCUAUUGAGCAAGAUUCAGAGUACGAACAAGGGGAAGAUGAAUUGGGUUAUGACAAAUCAGAAGUGCCUGAAGAAUAUGCUGAGGAAUACACAGAAGAAGGGCAGUAUGAAGGCCAAGAGGCUGAGCUGACUGAAGACCAAAUAGAAUAUGGGGAAGAUCAGGGGGAAGAAGAAAUUUAUAACGAUGGAGUGCUAGAUCUCGAAAUCAAUGAACCUCUAGAUGAUUUCACAGAUGAAGAUUAUAUGCAGUCUUACAGUGAGCAGCAAGUAAUUGAACAGCAAGAAUAUGUAGCUGAAGAAGAACUGGAAGAGGUUGCUGACACUCAGACACCUCCAAAUGAGACGGAAGAGGCAGUUAUUGAAAAUCUGGAGCUGCAAGAAGAAACCAAAGAGGAGUCCGAUGAAGAAGAAGAAGAUGACGAAGAAUCCGGUCGAUUACGUUUCAAAACUGAACGGAAAGAAGGAACCAUCAUUAGGCUUUCGGAUGUAACAAGAGAACGAAGAAACAUUCCAGAAACUUUGGAACUUUCUGCAGAAGCUAAAGCAGCAUUACUUGAAUUUGAAGAGAGGGAAAGGCAACUGAAGCAGGGGCGUUACGGCUCAAGAAGAGGAGGAAGGAGAGGAGGGCCUUUAAUGUGUCGUGGAAUGGGAGAACAAAGGAGGGACAACAAUGAAAGGGGAAGAAUGAAGGAUCACAGGCCUGCACUGCUGUCGACCCAGGCAUCUCUUACGACACAUUCAGAAAGGAUGUUUCGUCAUCAACAACCUAUUAGGAAUCUCUUCCAGCAGCAGCAGCAGCAACAGUUACAGGGUCUGUUACCCAUUCCCUCUCAGCAUCACACACCAUCUCCCCCUCAAGGGAUUCAUAUGCCACCCCAGCUAGAAACAUCAAGAAUGCUGAUGACUCCUCCUCCAGUGACAUCCCAGCAGCCAAAAAACAUACACAUAAACCCACACUUCAAAGGGCCUGUAGUAACGCCUGUACAAGUGCCCUUGCUGCCAGUCCCAAACCAGCCAAGACCUGCUGUAGGACCCCAGAGAUUUCCUGGUCCUCCAGAGUUUCAGCAGAACCCCGGUGGACCAGUUCCUACCAACUUCAGCCAAGCCCCAAGACUCUCCCUCCAAGAUCAGUGGAGAGGGCCACCCCCCCCUCUGCCACCCCCACCUCCACAGGACAGAGAGGCUUUCUUCAUGGGAGAGCCGAGAUUCCCCAGCCAUCACUUGUUUGAGCAGCGGAGCCCCCCUCCUCCACUACCUCCUCCACUCCUUAACAGCACCCAUCCUGUUCCCAGCCAAAGUCCGCUUCCUUUCAGUCAGCCUGGACCAGGUUUUAAUCAACAGGGGCAGCAGCAGCCCAUGUUUCCCAGAGAGAGAAUGGUGAGGCCAAACAUUCAGCCGCAGGGCCCAGUGGGAGUCCUUCACUUCAGCCAGCCUGGAGCAGCAAAUCCACGGCCCUUCCUCCCUCCCAGGCAGUCGUACAUGCAAGUGCCAGGGCAACCGUUUUUGACAACUCUCACUCAGCCUAAUUUGCAGGGUCCCUUGCACCCUCCUUUGCAACACCAGCAGCAUCCACAGGCACCGCAACAGCACCAGCCCCAUCCACAGCCGCAUCAGCAGCAUCCACAGCUGCAUCAGCAGCAUUCACAAACUGUGCAGCAGCAGCACCACCAGCAGCAUCAACCACACCAGCAGCAGCACCACCUCCUUGCUGUGCCCCCCCAGCCUCUGAUUCCUGUUGCUCCAUCCCAGUUUAGACCUCAUAUGCAGACUUCGCAGCAACAGUCAAGUGGCAGUCGGAUGCUGUGUCAGCAACGACAAGGUCUGGUAAAGGCCAGGCAUAAUACACCAACACAAAACAUUGUAAAGCGUCCAAAUCAGCAACUCCAGUCGCCUGCUCCAAGGAACAGUAAUUUGCGGGAAUUGCCAAUAGCACCUUUGCAUGCAAUUGAGGCUGCUAACAGGCGGACAUCAGCACCUGCUGCUCAAGUAAAGCCCAUUACCAGCACCACCGUGAGACCUGUUGCAGGUGUGAAGAACCAACAGGGGAGAACUGAGAUGAGACCUAGAGCAGUUACUCCAGUGGUACAACCUAAAGUGGAGGUGAAAUCUGAGCCAGAGUUUCCUGAUGAAGAUGAAGAAACAAGACUUUACCGCUUAAAGAUAGAAGAACAAAAACGUCUGAGAGAAGAGAUCCUGAAACAAAAGGAGCUCAGGCGGCAACUUCAAGCUGGGGCUCGAAAAAAAGAGUUGCUUGAAAGGCUUGCACAGCAGCAGCAGUGUUCUUUGGUACAACCACAGGAGGAAGAAACUUCACAAUUUUCCACCAACGGAAAUCCAUUGCUUCCCCUUCCUGGCGCACAGCCCCGCCAAAAUGUGAAAUAUAGGCUGAUGGUUAAAAAGCAAGACCCAGUAGUUUCAAACCCCCCCGCUAGUCAGCCUAAGCCCACAAACAUUCUGCAGGCUGGAGAUAACGCACAGUUUCAAGGACAGCAAAUAAAAACUGUAAAGCAGCUAAGACAGACUAGAAUGGUGCCUGAAAAUGAGCUCCAACUACCAUAUAAAGGGUUGCAAACAAAGCCUGCUGCGACACACCUGAACCCUUCUCAGAUUGCUCGGGUGGCAUCAGUACAAGGCCAACCUCAGGAACUGAGGCCUGGGGUGAAAAGAACUGUCAUGCAGCGGGCAAACAGUGGUAGUGGAGAUGGGCCCCAUGUCGGCACCAAAGUCAGGGUGAUUAAAUUGUCAGGAGGGGGUGGUGAGAAUGUUGGCUUUUCUCACUUAGAAGGGCCACCCCACCGACUCCAACAACCCCUGGAUCCAAGGCAUCAGCUAGUGCGGAAGGUCACAUUGACAAAAGGAACAGUACAGCAACCACAUCAGCACCAGAUGGCACAGAUCCACUCAACAAUCCCUCAAGGGCUGAAAAACAUCCCAGGGAUACAUCAAGCAAAAAAGGUCAUUACACACGGGAGAGGCAGAGGCAUUGCGGGCCAGAUGGGCCGAGGACGCUUGAUGCCAAAUAAACAGAAUCUGCGAGUGGUAGAGUGCAAACCUCAGCCCUGCAUUGUGUCAGUUGAAGGGCUUUCUUCAUCAACCACCGAUGUCCAACUGAAAAACCUGCUGAUGUCAGUAGGACCCAUUCAGCACCUGUAUGUGGAAUCCCAAAAGCGGAAGCUGGUAAAAAUUUACAGAUGCUUCCUCAACAGAGAAAGGCCAUAGCAAAAUUUAAAGAGCCUGCCGAUGCUCUAAAAUUUCAACAGAAGUUUCACAGGCAUAUGAUAGAUUUGUCCCACAUCAAUGUGGCACUGAUAGUGGAGUGAUCUGAAUGCCACAGGUCUAUUGUUCUACACAUAGCAUACUAUGGAGGAAGUUGCAAGGGCAGGAUCUCCUUGCAGUCUCCAAUGCCAGCUUUGCAGUAUCCUUUUGAAACUUCAGACUACUCUGUGACACUACAGACAGCAACAGCUAUGCUGCAAUGGAAGCGGAACUUGAAAGGAUGAAGAAUCAGAGUUUUGUCUUCUCUUUCUUUUACUGUAUUGAACACAUGGAGCUACAGGUUUCAUGGCCUUGUUGUGCACAAAUGGUGCACACAGAUGUUUUUCAAGAGAUGUACUGUGUGCUUACAGUGACUCAGAUUGAACGAACACUAACUUUGAAAGUUUUUUUAUGUAUCUUCAUAGCAAAGAAUAUUUGAUAAUGGUUGCUCUUAUCUUCUGUGUGGGGUGUUGAAAUGAGACUGUGCCUAUACCUACCUUUUUUAGCUAAGUAGAUAAAUAGAAUGAAACAUGGGCUACUUAAGUUGUUAUUUUUCCAAAAGCUCAUUCUUGAAAGCUCUUAUUCCCAGUGGGGUGAAUGCAACAAUGUGAAGUCCUGCACAUGGCUCUCAAUCUUCUUCCCUUUCCAACAUUUCCUUGUAGGAAUAACCUUCCCAUUUUCUCCUCUCCUCGUAUCUGAGAGACAUGACUGUUAGCAUUCUUUAUUGUAUCUUAGCUUGCUUUUGAGGGCGAUUACAGGAUGCCAGACUGGGGAGGUGAAGAGGUGGGGGGUGAGACCCUGUACAUAUUUACAUUCUUUGUAACACUAAUGGUGGUAUAUAAAGAAAUGCUAUUCAUUUCUGACAGGCUGUUGUUGUGAAUUGUACCACCGAUGCAGAGUUUGCAUCUUAUAAUCCAUUAUUUUGAUUGUGUCUUUCUUUGAGAUUUUCUUGGUCUAAUAAUUUUCAGCAAAUACUGCAUAAUGUGAAAGGCAGUUGAAUUGUACAAGGUAAAUUUACAAAGCCUCCCCCCGGCCCCGGGAUGCCAGGCUGGUCUAAAUAUUAUGUGUAGACUCUAAGGAAGCUGUGUUUUAUAUAGCAAGUAAAACUUGUCAUUGGAUCCUGAUAGUUUCUUCCAAAGGAAGGCAUUUUUGUUGCCAAAAUUGCCUUUGUGCCCAGGUAUUUGGGGGGGGGGGAGGAAGCUUCCUUAAUUCAAUAAAUAUUUUUCAGUGCUAAUGUAUUAGGCAUCUGCCCAAAUAGAAAGCAACUACAAGCAUUUUUUUUACUUUUACGGUAGCUAAAAUAGAAAUGUCAGAGUAGGAAAAACCUUUCAAAUAAUAAUAUUCUUUAAGGCCAGCAUUUUAUGUGAGAUUGAGAGAUUGUAAAGUUGUUUUUUUAUUAUGUAAAACCAAACUCUAUAUACAAGUAGGAAUUUUUAAACUGCUUUCCCAGUUAAGGCAAAGUUAUGGGAAUAAACAAUAAAGCUAUAAAUAUUGUCAUGUCUUUUAAAGUCAAAAUUGCAUUCUUUACCCAAUGGAAAUAUUGCAGGAGUAGUUUGAUUGGCAUGUUGCAGUAGUAAAAGUGUGAUAUUUUAAAUGUGUUUUUAAUGACUAGCUAGUAAACACCAUCACAAUCCUUCUGAAAUGCCCUGCCUUGACCCAUGCUCUGGAGGUGAGUUUUGCUGUCCUUUAUCAUUCUAUGCCCUUAAUUUGUGGUUCUCAAGGCAACCGGGAACUUGGUUUAUGUUGGAUUGCUUAGGCUGCAAUCCACUACAUACGUUCCUGGGAGUAAGUCCCAUUGAACCCAGUGGAGCUUAUUUCUGAGUAGACGUGUAUUGGAUUGCAGCCUUAGUCUCCCUCUGCUGUAGUGUGUUUCAAAGGUUUACAGGCAUUAGACUCAGAAGCAUAACACCAUACAUAACUGAAUGGACUGUGCUUACGUCCACGUCAGCUUUUGUCCUUGUGCAGACACUGAGCCUGCCGUUAUGGUUGAGUUUGAAAUUAUUGAUAAAAUGUGGCUCUUCAAUCCCACAGUUCAGGUACAGCUUCUCCAUAAUGAAUAAUAGACUGGGCAAAAUGUGGAUUGAUCCAGGUGGUGGUUGAACUGCAUGCAAUGUAGGCAACACUAAGGAGCGGGGCUCAGCAGUAGGCAAGGCUUCACUGGUUUGGCAGUGUUAAAAGCAAACAUGCUUGCUGAAAGGGGUUUUAUGGUGCCUAAGCAGCAAGUUCACAGUUCAGAUCUGGGAAACAUCUUUUUCAGAUGGCAACAGGACAUCUGUUAGGAUACAUUACCUUUUGAGCUCCUAAGGGAAUUGUGAGGGGUUUUUUUUAACUAUGUAAGGGUUUUAGACCUCUGUUUUUGAGAAAUAGGCUGUGGUAUGGCAUUUAAUGUAGUGGGUGCUUUUUGUAGCAUUAAAGUGUAGGCACAUCUGUCUGACUCUUGUUAUAGGCAAUAGUGUAUGCCUAGUGUGUGCAUAAUUGUGCAUGUGUGCACAGUUAGAUAUGUUGUAUGCUCACUAUUUCAACACUAGAACGUUCCUGUUUUUGUUAUGGGGAGACAGAGAAGAGGGUUAUUCUUUCCCUCCAUAGCUGGUAGCAGGAAUCCCAUAAUCUGGGUGGCAGGCACCCAGGCUCUAGGUUGGAGUAUCGUUAAGAUACUGUAAUACAAUAACUUGACUGAUUAAUGAUAAUUUUGAACUGGAUAUAUUGGCGGAAUAAUAGUGUGGCUUUCCUUUUCUUCUGAGGUGCCUUCCACAAAAGCAAAAUCACAGUUAAGAAUAGGAGGCCUGUCCUUUAUACAAUGCUUCACCAGUUUAAUUUUUUGUAGAAGAUCUGUUGCAACCAUUAUCUUGUUCUUUCUGUAUCAUGCAUUUAAAACAAGUUGUGAAUGCAAGAAUUGCAUUUAAUGUAUUAUGUAAAUAAGAGACUUUUAAACAAAAUUUAAAUGAAGCUAUUGACAUGCUUACAAUUCAGCCACAUCAAAGCUUAUUUGGUGGGGAGGGGGUGUUGUCUUAUCAAAGUUGAAUGGAAGCGUUUCCGUAAAUGUUCAUUUUUAUUUUUAUUUUGGUGUAACACUUCACUGUUUUUUUUUAUAAAGAUGCUAGUAUGUCAAUACAUGUAUCCUGACCUGUGUAUUAUUUGUUCAUAAAGCUUCAGAAACUUGGAAUGGAUAUUUAGUCAGUGAAUACUAUUGGUGGAAUCAAUUUUUUUCUCAUUUAGAGAUAUUUUCACUUAAAUUUGCAACAUUUCCUAGUGUACUUCAACUCAUGUCCUUGCUGAUGAAAAACUGCAGCCACCUGGUACUGGAAUAGUAAUUAUUUUAUACGGUAAAUAAGCUAAAUGGGAAAUAACAGUAUCCAUUGUUUUUACAGUGGGUUUGUGUGUUUUUAGUUUGGGCAUGGGAGCUUUUUUAGUUUUGUUAAUCUUAAUUUAUAAUUCAUACCUCUAUUUAUCUGCCGGAUAAUAGUGUUUCCAUCAAGACUGUGAAAUGAAGGCUAUUUUUUUCAUAGUGAUGAUGCAGAUGAAUCAUGGAAACGUGUAGCAGUCCUCCCUAUUGUUUUUAACAUUCCUUCAAACUUUCAAAAGACUCUUUGUUAAAAUACUGAGCGUAAAGGAGAGAUGCUCAACUUAAGUUAAUUUAUAAAUACAGAAGUGCCACAUUUAUAUUUUUCUAAUUCUAGGACCUUGAACUACAGGGGUAAAACAAAGCUAAAUUACCUGGGGAAGAAUAUAUGAAAUAUAUGUGGCUACAAUCUACAGGCUGCAUCACAAUAGAUUGUUAGAACUACUGAAACAUCCUACUGAUGAAAAAGAGAAAUAAUUGGCCUAUGGCCUCUUGGUCAGGGAUGAGGUAUCUGUGGCUGUCCAGAUGUUGCUGGACUGCAACUCUCACUGUCCCUCACCAUUAGCCAUGCUGGCUGAGGUCGAUGGGAGCUGGAAUCCAGCAACACGUGGAGGAUCACAGGGUCCCCAUCCCUGGUCUUGGUGCUGUAAUACCACAAAAUAUGUGGCAAGACUCAAUCAUUACUAAAGAGAAUUAGAGUGUUGAUAUGACCAUUUAUAUGGAGAAAUGUCAGCAUAAGAUGGCAUUUCCCCUUCAUUGGUUACUUGUUCCUAUAAUGAGCCCCAUGUAGUGAAAUCAAGAGGUAACACGUUCUUUUUCAAUGACUAAUGUCACAGGGUACUGUAUUUCAUUACCAGGGGGACUCGUAAUACCAAAAGUGGCAAACACCAAAGAAAUGAAGGGGUAAUUUCACCUUGUGGUGAUAUUUUUCCCUGUAAUAACUGAUGCUACAAACGUACUCUUUUUAGUUUCACCACACUUUACUUGUGGUUUUUGCCUGCAACGUACUCAAUCUUAAUCAGCUAGUUGGUAGCCUAAAACUUUUAGCUGGCACCAGGAAGUCAGAUUAAUUAUUGUUAACUAUUACCCAUGGGAUACACAUUUAGAUACUAGUUCAGUACUAAGUAUUUUAGCAUUUGUUUGUUUAUUUGCUACACUACCUUUCUAAUUUGCACAAUGAUAUCCUUCAUCUGGAGAACUUUAACUGCCAACACUUCCCAAGAAUCUUUUCUGUCUAUUCCCUAGUAUCUGGAAAGGUAAUGAGAUGUGUUUCCUUAACCCUAUCUUUUCUGAAUAGGCUCAUAGUUCUUGAAAGUGACAUUACCUUCUUCCAUUGGCCUUCCGCUACAUGUGCUGUUACUGGAAGGCUAAGCUACUGGUCUUGCAUACCUGAUGGACAACACUUUUUUGUGUCUGUCUUCAAUCACCUGCUUAUAAACUUGCUCACUGUCUUCUAAGCUUUAUCUUGCAGCAGCAAUUUUGGACCUAAUGAAGAACGCUUGCUAAGUGACACGGGUGGGGGAGGGGUGGAAUUAGUUUUUAAGCCAUAGAAUGCCUCUAGAAUAGAACGCCUUGACUUCUUGAGGGGUUGCCUAUGGAAUGUUGCAUUAGCAUAACUAUUUAAGCAUUAAGACAAAUUUAUAAUACCAAUACUAUUAGAGGAGUAUUGCAAUAGUAUUAAAUCCUAAGGAUUUUGUGUAAGGUUUUUGGAAACCUAUUUAAUUUUUUAAAAAACCAAACUUAUUUAACAGCCUAUAAGCUAUGUAAGCCUGGGGGCCUUAUGUAUAGACCAUUGAUUCACAUUGAAUCUCAUGUAUACCAUCUUCUGGUAUAAAUAUGGUUGGGAAGGAUCUUUCUUGGGGUAGGGUGGGGGAUAUUCGGCAGAUUUAUUCCAAAGCUCCAUGCUUGUUUUUGGUAGAAAUAUCACAUUACACAUUUCAUGAGUUUCACAUUACAUGAGAGUUUUGUUGAGAAGAUUGGGUUGUUGUUGUUUUUUAAAAAAAUCUAUAUAAUAAUGAAUUGCUGCUCUUUCCUGUUGGGUUGGAUGUUAUAGAAAGAGGCAAUCUGUUAACAACUGCUGAUUUUUCAGAAGGUCUUUGUUAGAGGUUGUUAGUGUUCUCUUUAAUUUGGUUUUACAGAUAACAUCUGGUUGGGGUUGCUUUUUAAUGAGUUUAUAUAGAAAUGGUAUCUGCUCAUUUGGAAAUAUGACUGUUAACUGUAUCAUAUUUAUCUGGUUAUUUGUACAUUUAUAUCUGGUAUUUUCCUAUGUGUAGCAAUUUUUCUUUUUCUCAUUUCUGCGUAGCUAAAAAUAUAAACUAAUUGGUUUUAAAUAAUCAGAUCAUUUUCUUUACAGGUACAGGAAACUGGGGAGUUGAUUCCCACCCCCAGCUCUCCAGAGCAUCACCUGGAAAUAAAUAUAUUUCUUUUACAGAUACAACAGAUGCAUUAAACUCUUUCAUUCACAGCUGACCCUCGGAUCUUUAUAUGUUAUGCCUUUUUUAAAUUAUAAUUUUUGUUCCAUGCCAGUAUUUACUUUUUAUCAUUCCUGUAGCACUUUACAGUUCACAAAAUGCUUUUUAAUUCUUAAUUCAUUAAUCCUCACUAAUAAUCCUGGGUAGUAUUCAAUUCUAGCCCUACUCAGAGUAGAUACACGGAAGUUCAUUGACAUGUCUAACUUGUUAGUUGAUUUCAGUGGGUCUAUUCUGAGUAGGACCUAGCUGAAUACAGUCCCCCAAGCUGAUAAAGGAGCCUUUGUGAGGAUUUUUCCAAAGAGGUAGCCAUGUUAGUCUGCUGUAGCAAAAAUAACAGUCUUAUGGCACCUUAAAUAUAAAAUUUGGUAGUCUUUAAGGUGCCACAAGUCUCUUUGUUCAGAUGUUUACCCAAAGCCAUCAAUAUUUAUUAUUUAUUUAUUUAUUCAGCUUAUAUCCCGCCUGACUAGCAAACAGCUCUCUGGGCGGCAAACAUAGCAACAUAUACAAUAAUAAAAUUACAAAGUCAGUAUAACAAAUAUAAAAAUACACCAUCUAAAAUAGAAAUUACAGCAUUAACAUAAAUAACUUAAAUUAAAAUGCCUCAGAGAAGAGAAAGAUUUUAACCUGGCACCGAAAGGAUAAUAGUGUCGGCGCCAGGUGUACCUCCUCGGGGAGACUAUUCCACAAUUCGGGGGCCACCACUGAGAAGGCCCUAGAUCUUGUUACUACCCUCCGGGCCUCCCUAUGGGUCGGGACCCGGAGGAGGGCCUUCGUAGUAGACUGUAGUGUACGAGCCGGUUCGUAACGGGAGAGGCAUUCCUGCAGGUAUCGUGGUCCCACGCCGUAUAAGGCUUUAUAGGUUAAAACCAACACUUUGAAUCUGGCCCGGUAGCAUAUUGGAAGCCAGUGCAAGCGAGCCAGAACAGGUGUUAUAUGCUCAGACCGCUUAGUUCUUGUUAGCAGUCUGGCCGCCGUAUUUUGCACUAGCUGUAGCUUCCGAACCGUCUUCAAAGGUAGCCCUACGUAGAGCGCGUUGCAGUAGUCCAAACGUGAGGUUACCAGAGCAUGAACCACUGAUGUAAGGUCCUCAAGUUAACUAAGCCUCAUGGAGAUGUGGUUCUUUUGGGUCCAGAGCCACCACUUUCCACAGUUAGACACUCAUCUGCUCCUUUCCCAUCUAGCUGUUUAACUACACCCAUCUUUGCUGUCAUCCAGUUCCACAGCUCUUCUUCCUAAUGUAGAAAGCCAGUAGAACCCAGUUAGUUGCACCCAUUGAAUAUCCUUCUGGGCCAUUGUGGAUCUAAGAAAAUUACAUAGGACUUUGGGAAGCAAUCCUGCUUGUGUGUGGUGAGCAGGGUGUGGAGUGACUCCAUGAGAGGUGUCAGUGUAGCCCUCCUGAACCCCUUCAUAUAAUUCCAUCACAGCUGCCGCUGCUAUAUUCUAGCCAAAUCAUUCAGUUCAAGGCAAGGCUCUCCCGUACCUCAUGUUCAGUAACCUACCUUUGUUGUCCUCUUCCAAAUGACAUUCCUGCUUCCAUGACCAGUAACCCAACAACAAGGUGGUCCCAUUGUCCACUGACCAUUGUUCAGCCACCAUUUUGGAAGCCAUUGGGCCAUUUCACUAAUAAGGCACCUUGUAUCAGUAGUUUGUAUCAAUAGUUUCCACAGCUUUUUGGAAGAUCAUUUUGAGUACUUGCAAAUGCUUUGGCUGUUGGUGAGGUACAACUAAUACUUCCUUACAGGUUUCCUUUCUUUUUUUAGGAAUGAUGAGCAUUGCAGAGAACUGGAGACUGUAUUCUUUAACCAUUCAAUUUUUGUACAUUCCUUAUCCAUGCAGGAAAGUGGUAUCUGUGGCAGUCCCAGAAAAACAAAGCGUUACUAACCCCUCUUUCCCCCCUCUUCCUUUUUGCAGGCUUUCCUAGUUCUCUCUGAAUUCAGUGAUAGGAAUAGCUCUGUAACAUUUCUCAUGUAAGAAAAGUGUCAACCCUUUGAGUCAUUUAUUACUAUUACUGGUGUGAUCCUUCCUAACCUGUAACCUUGUGAAAUAUUAUAUACAUCUGAGUACAAGCAGCUGUGCCGUUCAAAGUUAUUCUGUUCUAAUCUGGACUGUGAAACUCGUGUAUUACAAUCAAUGCAAUAGACAGCUGUUAUGAUACUAACUCCAUUGGGGAGUUGUUUCUCACCUCAUGUUUUCUAUAGAAUCAGCUAACCAAGUUAUUUUACAGCUCAUUUUCUUAAAUGUAAAACUUUGUGCAUUUUGCACCAAAAUUCCUGCUUACCUUAGCAGGUUUUUCGGGAGGCUGUUAAUGUGAUACGAAUGUAGAAAUGACUUCUGAGAAAUAAGCAAUGUAAAAAAAUGGAUUCCAGAUUUCAACUGUCAUUAUGCAGUUAAACAUUCAAAUGUCAUUAUUUACUGAA